RNAcentral lists this ribosomal RNA (169 nucleotides) under uncultured bacterium. RNAcentral's name for it is "partial 16S ribosomal RNA". It matches the Rfam family "Bacterial small subunit ribosomal RNA", at positions 338 to 524 of the family's 1533-position model. The record is from RNAcentral.
CCUACGGGAGGCAGCAGUGGGGAAUAUUGGACAGUGGGCGAAAGCCUGAUCCAGCAAUGCCGCGUGAGUGAUGAAGGCCUUAGGGUUGUAAAGCUCUUUUACCAGGGAUGAUAAUGACAGUACCUGGAGAAUAAGCUCCGGCUAACUCCGUGCCAGCAGCCGCGGUAAU